This 1081-nucleotide unclassified non-coding RNA is filed under the name leaf metagenome. Its description in RNAcentral is "partial contains internal transcribed spacer 1, 5.8S ribosomal RNA, internal transcribed spacer 2, and large subunit ribosomal RNA". The stretch from base 496 to 1081 matches the Rfam family "Eukaryotic large subunit ribosomal RNA", at positions 1 to 598 of the family's 3401-position model. The record is from RNAcentral.
GAUCAUUACUGAGUUUACGCUCUAUAACCCUUUGUGAACAUACCUAUAACUGUUGCUUCGGCGGGUAGGGUCUCCGCGACCCUCCCGGCCUCCCGCCCCCGGGCGGGUCGGCGCCCGCCGGAGGAUAACCAAACUCUGAUUUAACGACGUUUCUUCUGAGUGGUACAAGCAAAUAAUCAAAACUUUUAACAACGGAUCUCUUGGUUCUGGCAUCGAUGAAGAACGCAGCGAAAUGCGAUAAGUAAUGUGAAUUGCAGAAUUCAGUGAAUCAUCGAAUCUUUGAACGCACAUUGCGCCCGCCAUCAUUCUGGCGGGCAUGCCUGUUCGAGCGUCAUUUCAACCCUCAAGCUCUGCUUGGUGUUGGGGCCCUACAGCUGAUGUAGGCCCUCAAAGGUAGUGGCGGACCCUCCCGGAGCCUCCUUUGCGUAGUAACUUUACGUCUCGCACUGGGAUCCGGAGGGACUCUUGCCGUAAAACCCCCAAUUUUCCAAAGGUUGACCUCGGAUCAGGUAGGAAUACCCGCUGAACUUAAGCAUAUCAAUAAGCGGAGGAAAAGAAACCAACAGGGAUUGCCUCAGUAACGGCGAGUGAAGCGGCAACAGCUCAAAUUUGAAAUCUGGCCCUAGGCCCGAGUUGUAAUUUGCAGAGGAUGCUUUUGGUGCGGUGCCUUCCAAGUUCCCUAGAACGGGACGCCAGAGAGGGUGAGAGCCCCGUACAGUUGGACACCAAGCCUUUGUAAAGCUCCUUCGACGAGUCGAGUAGUUUGGGAAUGCUGCUCAAAAUGGGAGGUAUAUUUCUUCUAAAGCUAAAUACCGGCCAGAGACCGAUAGCGCACAAGUAGAGUGAUCGAAAGAUGAAAAGCACUUUGAAAAGAGGGUUAAACAGCACGUGAAAUUGUUAAAAGGGAAGCGCUUGUGACCAGACUUGCGUCCGGUGAAUCACCCAGCUCUCGCGGCUGGGGCACUUCGCCGGCUCAGGCCAGCAUCAGCUCGCUGUCGGGGACAAAAGCUUCAGGAACGUAGCUCUCUUCGGGGAGUGUUAUAGCCUGUUGCAUAAUACCCUUCGGCGGGCUGAGGUACGC